This is a long non-coding RNA of Lagopus leucura (white-tailed ptarmigan), 298 nucleotides long. RefSeq lists it as uncharacterized. The transcript is spliced from 3 exons. NCBI's taxonomy places the organism in Eukaryota, Metazoa, Chordata, Aves, Galliformes, Phasianidae. The record is from RefSeq and is a predicted model, not a curated record.
UAUGUGCUGAGAGGAAGUAUACUCAUUUGGAUCUAGAUAUUCUUUACUGUUACCACAACUCAAUUAAUCUAAGGAUGGCAUAUAACAGUGUUCAGUAAUAUUGGGAAGUCAUGGUUUUGGAUGAUGAGUUGGUAAGCUUUUCUAAUGAUGAAAAUAUGGCAGAUGUUGCCCGCAACUUGUUGGGAAUGGGAAGGUCAAGAAAAUGGAAUAUAAGCGUAUGAUACUCAACGCAAAAGUGAGGCUUGCAGUGACACAAGAAUCCGGCUAACAUUGGAGUUUCUAUUUCUUACUCUCUUUC